This 571-nucleotide ribosomal RNA is filed under the name Actinodura cyanouroptera cyanouroptera. RNAcentral describes it as "Siva cyanouroptera cyanouroptera partial small subunit ribosomal RNA". It matches the Rfam family "Bacterial large subunit ribosomal RNA", at positions 1817 to 2597 of the family's 2925-position model. Lineage: Eukaryota; Metazoa; Chordata; Aves; Passeriformes; Leiothrichidae. The record is from RNAcentral.
AGCCUUCAGCAAACCAAUAGACAAGUAUGUGAAGGUGAUGCCUGCCCGGUGACAUAGUUCAACGGCCGCGGUAUCCUAACCGUGCAAAGGUAGCGCAAUCAAUUGUCCCAUAAAUCGAGACCUGUAUGAAUGGCUAAACGAGGUCCUAACUGUCUCUUACAGGCAAUCGGUGAAAUUGAUCUCCCUGUACAAAAGCAGGGAUAAACCCAUAAGACGAGAAGACCCUGUGGAACUUCAAAAGCAGCGGCCACCCCAAAUAACAUACACACCCACCUGGGCCCACUUAUUUAACGGGCUACUGGCUCGCACUUUUUCGGUUGGGGCGACCUUGGAGCAAAACAAAACCUCCAAAUCUUGGACCUUACAUCCAGACUAAGAGCAACUACUCAACGUGCUAAUAGCAACCAGAUCCAAUAUAAUUGAUCAAUGGACCAAGCUACCCCAGGGAUAACAGCGCAAUCUCCUCCAAGAGUCCAUAUCGACGGGGAGGUUUACGACCUCGAUGUUGGAUCAGGACAUCCUAGUGGUGCAGCCGCUACUAAGGGUUCGUUUGUCAACGAUUAACAGUCCU